UUGUGACGUAAAAAAGGUUAGUCAAAAUUUUAACAACUAAUGCUGAGUACAUAACAGCGGAGGUCGUUUUGAGGGAUUUAUGUGCAGUUUUGGAGGAAGGAGGCAGAUGGUAGUGAUGAAGAAGAGGGAGCUGGUUCAAGUGAAGUACGGCAGCCAUGUUUUUGGAGCCAUAUUGUUCAGGAAGCAAAGAUGACUCCAACUUUACUGGGGAAGACAGGACAGUGAAUGUUUGGAGCUGGAAAUCUGUCGCCUCCGAAUCACUGAAUGAUUAGCAACGUGAGAUGGCUGACCCCUUCCCUUUCGUCCAUUGACCACUUAAGAUGGACCAUAGCAUGAGACCAUUAGACGAGGAUGGAUGGCCACAGGAGGACCACAGGUAUCAGCAUGGUAUGGACAGUUUGAACAUAUGUCAUGUUUGGACUGGUAUUGUCCAUUCUUGCCCUACAAGAGAAGACUCCUUCCCCAGUCCUCAACCUACCCAGCAGGUUUUAGAUGCCUCCCUACUCCAACACAAUGAAAUGACUGGAUUUCCUCUUCAGCAUGCCAUCAAGUUUGGCAAAGACCUGCAAUGAGUUUAACGAGGAGAGCAGUCCUUGAAGCAAUAUCCUAAGUGGCACUUCAUCCCUGUCUCCUUCCCCAGCACCCGCCUCCCUGUAUCUCACCUCCUCAUCCUUCACAAGGUUUCUGAUUGUCAAGUGGCAGAGGAUGCUUCAGUUUAAGCGUGCAGACUUGAGAGCGAGAGGACGGGGGGAAAAAAAGGCAGCCCUGAAUCACCCGCCACCGUCUGCGAGCUAAAAAUUACCCUGUGAGACAGAGGUUUGGAGAACUUCAUUUCCUUGUUCAUAAUUAAACUCCUCAACCUUAAUCUGACCGUACCUUUCUCCUGCUGGGGGCUUCCUGCAGUGCUUAUUGAGCCCUACUUAUUACGUGGAUUAGAAUCUAUCUUCCACUUCAACAGUGGGUCACCCUAUUCAAUUAUUUCAGCCAUUCAUGGCCGACUAGAUGAUGAAAGAUCCUUGAGAUUCUGGUUCGUUCCCAACGCAGACGGUUCAUGGGAGGUGACUGGAUUUUCUGAGAGACAGUAUCUGCCGGGUGCGACAUUACUGGAGGCGUGCUGGGAUGAAAAGAGUAGCCAUAAAAAAGUGAGGCGUUUCAAAGGAGUUCUCAUCUGUCCUGCACUGUGCUCUGCGCACCACUGGGAGGCAGUCCUGAGCCACCGCUCCUCUCCUCUGCUUCCUUUCCCCACACUCAGCCACCCACUGCUGCUCUGAGGGUGCUGUUUGUUCUGUUUUCUCCUCACUCAGUCCUCACACUGAGAUACAGAGCUUCUUCUUGUCUUGCUGUCAAAACAGAAAAAGAUCUGAGUGAAAUAUUUAAAG
Molecule: long non-coding RNA, 1379 nt
Organism: Poecilia latipinna (sailfin molly)
Lineage: Eukaryota; Metazoa; Chordata; Actinopteri; Cyprinodontiformes; Poeciliidae
Exons: 3
Source: RefSeq, a predicted model, not a curated record